AGGCUUUGAUCCUGGCUCAGGAUGAACGCUGGCGGCGUGCUUAACACAUGCAAGUCGAACGAACCUUCGGGUUAGUGGCGGACGGGUGAGUAACGCGUGAGAAUCUGCCCUCAGGAGGGGGAUAACGGCUGGAAACGGCCGCUAAUACCCCAUAUGCCGAGAGGUGAAACGAAUUUCGCCUGAGGAUGAGCUCGCGUCUGAUUAGCUAGUUGGUGGGGUAAAGGCCUACCAAGGCGACGAUCAGUAGCUGGUCUGAGAGGAUGAUCAGCCACACUGGGACUGAGACACGGCCCAGACUCCUACGGGAGGCAGCAGUGGGGAAUUUUCCGCAAUGGGCGAAAGCCUGACGGAGCAACGCCGCGUGAGGGAUGAAGGCCUCUGGGCUGUAAACCUCUUUUCUCAAGGAAGAAGAUCUGACGGUACUUGAGUGAAUAAGCCACGGCGUAUAUCCGUGCU
Molecule: ribosomal RNA, 456 nt
Filed under: uncultured Synechococcus sp.
Lineage: Bacteria; Bacillati; Cyanobacteriota; Cyanophyceae; Synechococcales; Synechococcaceae
Description: bacterial SSU rRNA
Rfam family: Bacterial small subunit ribosomal RNA
Source: RNAcentral